UCGAAUCUCGCAACGAGCAAGACCGCGCACACGUAUACGCUGCACGGGGAACCGGCGGGAAGGUGCGCGCGCCUCCCGUUGGUUGCCCCGCACCCGCCCGACCCUCGCGCGAUCGAGUGCGAGCGGCGGGUCCAUCAACAAACCCACGGCGCGGAAAGGCGCCAAGGAUCACAAACGCGGAGCGCUGCCCCCGUGGUGCACCCGUUCGCGGUGUGCCGUUCGGGGGAUGUGCGUCUCCCAAGAUUGCAUACGGAAAAAAU
RNAcentral lists this unclassified non-coding RNA (260 nucleotides) under Pinguicula crassifolia. RNAcentral describes it as "ITS1". The record is from RNAcentral. Lineage: Eukaryota; Viridiplantae; Streptophyta; Magnoliopsida; Lamiales; Lentibulariaceae.